Molecule: ribosomal RNA, 649 nt
Filed under: uncultured bacterium
Lineage: Bacteria
Description: bacterial SSU rRNA
Rfam family: Bacterial small subunit ribosomal RNA
Source: RNAcentral
UGAGGUGCGAAAGCGUGGGGAGCAAACGGGAUUAGAUAUCCCGGUAGUCCACGCCGUAAACGAUGUCUACUAGCUGUAGGGGUACUUGAGACCUUUGUAGCGCAGCUAACGCAAUAAGUAGACCGCCUGGGGAGUACGGCCGCAAGGUUAAAACUCAAAUGAAUUGACGGGGGCCCGCACAAGCAGUGGAGCAUGUGGUUUAAUUCGAUGCAACGCGAAGAACCUUACCAGGCCUUGACAUCCCCGGAACUUUCUAGAGAUAGAUUGGUGCCUUCGGGAACCGGGUGACAGGUGCUGCAUGGCAGUCGUCAGCUCGUGUCGUGAGAUGUUGGGUUAAGUCCCGUAACGAGCGCAGCCCUUGUCCUUAGUUGCCAGCACGUAAUGGUGGGAACUCUAAGGAGACUGCCGGUGACAAACCGGAGGAAGGUGGGGACGACGUCAAGUCAUCAUGGCCCUUACGGCCUGGGCUACACACGUGCUACAAUGGCUAGGACAGACGGCUGCAAACCAGCGAUGGGGAGCUAAUCCGACAAACCUAGUCGUAGUCCGGAUUGGAGUCUGCAACUCGACUCCAUGAAGUCGGAAUUGCUAGUAAUCGCGAAUCAGAAUGUCGCGGUGAAUACGUUCCCGGGCCUUGUACACACCGCCC